This 122-nucleotide ribosomal RNA is filed under the name uncultured bacterium. Its description in RNAcentral is "partial 16S ribosomal RNA". It matches the Rfam family "Bacterial small subunit ribosomal RNA", at positions 403 to 518 of the family's 1533-position model. The record is from RNAcentral.
GAGUGAUGAGGCCUUCGGGUUGUAAAGCUCUGUUGUCAGGGAAGAACUCCUACCCUAGUAUAUGCCGGGACCUUGACGGUACCUACCCAAAAAGCCCCGGCUAACUACGUGCCAGCAGCCGC